UGAAUUGUAUCUCUGUUUGAGCCUCUAUUC
RNAcentral lists this non-coding RNA (30 nucleotides) under Mus musculus (house mouse). The record is from RNAcentral. Lineage: Eukaryota; Metazoa; Chordata; Mammalia; Rodentia; Muridae.